This 497-nucleotide ribosomal RNA is filed under the name uncultured bacterium. RNAcentral's name for it is "partial 16S ribosomal RNA". It matches the Rfam family "Bacterial small subunit ribosomal RNA", at positions 28 to 507 of the family's 1533-position model. The record is from RNAcentral.
GAUGAACGCUGGCGGCGUGCCUAAUACAUGCAAGUCGAGCGAACAGACGAGGAGCUUGCUCCUUUGACGUUAGCGGCGGACGGGUGAGUAACACGUAGGUAACCUACCUAUAAGACUGGGAUAACUUCGGGAAACCGGAGCUAAUACCGGAUAAUAUUUCGAACCGCCUGGUUCGAUAGUGAAAGAUGGCUUUGCUAUCACUUAUAGAUGGACCUGCGCCGUAUUAGCUAGUUGGUAAGGUAACGGCUUACCAAGGCAACGAUCCGUAGCCGACCUGAGAGGGUGAUCGGCCACACUGGAACUGAGACACGGUCCAGACUCCUACGGGAGGCAGCAGUAGGGAAUCUUCCGCAAUGGGCGAAAGCCUGACGGAGCAACGCCGCGUGAGUGAUGAAGGUCUUCGGAUCGUAAAACUCUGUUAUUAGGGAAGAACAAACGUGUAAGUAACUGUGCACGUCUUGACGGUACCUAAUCAGAAAGCCACGGCUAACUACGUG